RNAcentral lists this non-coding RNA (76 nucleotides) under Trypanosoma brucei brucei TREU927. Lineage: Eukaryota; Euglenozoa; Kinetoplastea; Trypanosomatida; Trypanosomatidae. The record is from RNAcentral.
CCAAGGAUGGAUCUGCCUCAACGUGGCGCUAUGGUCUAGUACCAGAAGAGAAAUAGGCUGGGAAGCCAAAUGUUCC